GUAAAUAGCAUGUUUAAUGGGUAAGGGUAAGAAAGAAUGGGAAGACUUGCAUGAAGCUGAUUAUGGUCCUGUUGAGCUUAGAGCCAUGUUUUGAAGCACACUUGAGGUUUUAGCACUAAUGAAGGCUUGAGCCUUGAUUUUCUAGAAUUUUCAACUGAUUGAGCAUGAUAUAGUAACCAUUUAUUUUUUCUGUUUUUUGAUAUAGGAUCUUGCUAUGUAAUUCAGGCUGGCCUUGAAUUCACUGUGUAUCCUAGGCUGCCUCAAACUUGAGAUGAUCCUUCUGCUUCAGCCUUCUGAGUGCUGGGAUUACAGGCAUGUGCCACCACAUCUGGCUGAAUGGAUUCUACAGUGUUAGGAGCUCUGCAGACCUGCUUCCCAGUGAAACAAGCCGAACUGGUGAAAAUUCUCAGAGCGGUGGCUGCUUCAGAAGAAAGCAGCCAAGAACACAGGACUUGCUCCUUCCCAGCUCUUAGGUGAAGGUUAUAGUUAUCUUCUGGGAAGUGCAAGCCCCCAGAUAGUUAAGUCUUAGUUACACAUGCCUGAAAUCCCAGCACUUAAGAGACAGGCAGAAGGAUCACAAGUCUCAGACCAGCCUGGACUACAUAGUGAGUUUGAGAUCAACCUGAACUCCAAAGCAAGACCCUGUCUCAGAAACAAAACAACAAAAUUAUAUAAAGUAACUAAGACAAAGUAUUGUUUGGUGUGUAAUAUAUAGAUGUACUUUGCAUGAUAGUACAGAGAGUGAAGAAAGAAUAGUUAUAUAAAAGUGAUUUUUCUGUAACUUACCUGCACUAUGAACAGAUCUGUAGUUUUACUAGAUCUCAUAAAUUCUCAUGCUGCUGGUCAGAAUAUAAAAUGCUACAACUUCUUAGGAAAACAGCCAUAGUCCCCACAAGGUUAAGUAUAGAAUUACUGUUGGGCUUAGCAAAUCUACCCCUAUGUAUAUACUCCAUAAAUAUGAAACCUAUGUCCCUAUAUCCACAUAAAGAUUUGUGUGCAAAUGUACACAGCAGCAUCAUUGAUUAAUAGCAAGGAAAAGUAAAUCCAGUAUCCAUCAACUAAUGAAUGGAUAGAUGAAAUGUAAGAAGACAAUGAAAUAUUAUUUGGCAAGUAACAUGGAUGAACCUUGAACAUGUUAUGCUAAGUGAAACACAUCACAUUGAUUUCAUUGGCAUGAAAUGUCCAUUACAGGCAAAUCUAAAGAUGCAGAUUGGGCCAGGGAUUUAGCUCAGUGGUUCCGCCGCUUGCCUUGCAAGCGCAAGGUCCCGAGUUCUAUCCCUGAUACGCGGCCCCCCCCCAAAAGGAUAUAGAUUAGCGGUUGCCUAGGGCUGAAGGUAAAGGUGAGAUUGUGGAAUUAUACCUAAAGGGUACACGGCUUCUCUUUGGUGUAAUGAAAAUGUUAAGAUUUGAUCAUGGUAAUGGUUGUGUAAUUGUGUGAAUAUACUAAAAACCAUUGAGUUGUACACUUAACAUAGCUGAAUUACAGAGGUUUCUCCUUUUCUCCAUAUGUAUAGGGGAUACAUGCUAAGAACUCUAGUGAAUGCCUGAAACCCCAAGUAGUACUGAACCCUAGUAUAGGGAUAGUAUGUGCUAUUUUUUAUAAUACAUUUGUACCUAUAAUAACAUUUAAUUUAUAAA
Long non-coding RNA from Heterocephalus glaber (naked mole-rat), 1638 nucleotides. The record is from Ensembl. Lineage: Eukaryota; Metazoa; Chordata; Mammalia; Rodentia; Bathyergidae.